Molecule: ribosomal RNA, 440 nt
Filed under: uncultured bacterium
Lineage: Bacteria
Description: partial 16S ribosomal RNA
Rfam family: Bacterial small subunit ribosomal RNA
Source: RNAcentral
CCUACGGGGUGCAGCAGUGGGGGAUAUUGCACAAUGGGGGGAACCCUGAUGCAGCGACGCCGCGUGGGUGAAGAAGCGCCUCGGCGCGUAAAGCCCUGUCAGCAGGGAAGAAAAUGACGGUACCUGAAGAAGAAGCCCCGGCUAACUACGUGCCAGCAGCCGCGGGAAUACGUAGGGGGCAAGCGUUAUCCGGAUUUACUGGGUGUAAAGGGGGCGCAGACGGCGAUGCAAGCCAGGAGUGAAAGCCCGGGGCCCAACCCCGGGACUGCUCUUGGAACUGCGUGGCUGGAGUGCAGGAGGGGCAGGCGGAAUUCCUGGUGUAGCGGUGAAAUGCGUAGAGAUCAGGAGGAACACCGGUGGCGAAGGCGGCCUGCUGGACUGCAACUGACGUUGAGGCCCGAAAGCGUGGGGAGCAAACAGGAUUAGAUACCCGAGUAGUC